RNAcentral lists this ribosomal RNA (442 nucleotides) under uncultured bacterium. RNAcentral describes it as "partial 16S ribosomal RNA". It matches the Rfam family "Bacterial small subunit ribosomal RNA", at positions 338 to 795 of the family's 1533-position model. The record is from RNAcentral.
CCUACGGGAGGCAGCAGUGGGGGAUAUUGGACAAUGGGGGGAACCCUGAUCCAGCGACGUCGCGUGAGUGAAGAAGUAUCUCUGUAUGUUCAGCUCUAUCAGCAGGGGAGCAGUAAUGACGGUGCGUGCGUAAGAAGCGCCGGCUAACUACGUGCCAGCAGCCGCGGUCAUACGUAGGGGGCACGCGUUAUCCGGGAUUACUGGGUGUAAAGGGAGCGUAGACGGUGAUGUAAUUCUGGAGGGAAAGUCGGGGGCCGAACCCCCGGACGGCUCUUGAAACUAUGUGACUGGAGUGCAGGAGAGGUAAGCGGAAUGCCUAGUGUAGCGGUGAAAUGCGUAGAUAUUAGGAGGAACACCAGUGGCGAAGGCGGCACACUGGACUGUAACUGACGUUGAGGCUCGAAAGCGUGGGGAGCAAACAGGAUUAGAUACCCGGGUAGUC